Molecule: long non-coding RNA, 2021 nt
Filed under: Eucalyptus grandis
Lineage: Eukaryota; Viridiplantae; Streptophyta; Magnoliopsida; Myrtales; Myrtaceae
Description: long non-coding RNA (EGRA_LNC006005)
Source: RNAcentral
CAAAUUUCUAUUCCAAAAAUAAAUUUGGAGUAAAAAUCAUAAGGUAAAAUUUUUAACUUUUCUAUUUCUGACAUAGAAAUAGAAAUGAUUUCUUCUUCUCUUCAAUAAAGAGAAUUUGGGCAUCCUCCCUCUACAGAUUUCGGGCUUUUCUAUUUGGGCGUCCAUCCCCCUUAACAAAGCCACGCUUCAACCAAAAACCCUACCACUGUCGACUCUGAAUCCAUCCAUCCUCGCCCUCAACUCCAAAUCCAUCCUUCUUGCCAUUGUUGACUCCAAUGCCAUCGGCGUCCUCUUGCCGAUCAAAUCGUCAUUCAUCUCACCGUCAACUGCAACUCUAUCCUCCUUACUACCGUCGACUCUGACUCCGUCCUCUUGUCGGUCACAUCGUCGCUCACCUCACCAUCGACUCUGACUCCAUCCUCCUUGCCGUUGAUGGCUUCGACUCCAGCUCCAUCCUCUCGCCAGCAUCCACUCCAUCCGCUCACAAGCAUUCACUCCGUCCGCUCACUGCCGUCGACUCCAACUCCAUCCUCAACCCUAGACCCUCAUUGAUUGCAUGAGCAUAUCUUCUUGACGCCUCUAGGUAAUUGUGAUUGACUAGUUUUCCACGUAAUCAAUGGCUUUCUCACUCAUGCUUUAUCUCCGACUCCGUCCUCAACCCUAAGAGUUUCCAUGGUCAUUUGAAUAGGGCAUGAUUUUGGGCCUUUUUGCCUCUUCUUCUCGCGCGUCUAGGUUAAUAUGAUUGACAGGCACCGUCCGGCGACUUGCAACGAAUGGCGUCUUAUUCAUGGUUUCUUACUCCCAAUUCCCACAUCUCUAUGAGAUUUCUUUUCUACUAAGUCCAAAUAUCUUGUAGUUUCGCCUGCCUUUGCUUUGUGCUUUGAUAUAUUGCUAUGGAUGUCCUUUAUGUUCAUGGUUGUGAGCAUAAGUCUUGAAUAUAUGGGUGGAGUUCCAAUGAAGUGAAGCAUAAUGUUCGUGGCUGGAGUGUUGAUGUUCUUGAAUUAGUAAGCAAUCCUUUGGGUUUUUUAGGCAUGCUUAAAGAAGAAGACGUUGAAAGGUUUAGAGAAAUAGAGCAUAAGAGUCAUGAGUUUAUUUUGGGCAGAUUUGGACUUAGUUUUAUUAUAGCAAAAGAGGUGUGAGUUUCUUUUCUUGUUUUUGGUGAGUAGUGUUCAUCUUUGUUUUGUCUCUUUAAGGUAUGUGCAAUUGCCAAAGAACACAUUAGGAAAUACAAAUCUUUAUCACAGAAUACUUUAUUUCCUUCCUUUGUAGGCAGGGGAGAAAUAAGUCAGCUGUUGAAAGAUUUCGCCUUGGUCUGAUUGAAUUGUUUGCAACAUUGCGGCAUGUGAUUUUCUUUUUAUCCGAAUCAUACUGUGUGAUCGGGAGCUAGCUGAUGGAUUGAAUUUACUAAUAUGUCCAUUGCUUAGCUUGAGGAUGUUAUGCGAAACUUGGGUUUGAUGCCCUUGAGAAAUUAAUUGUUUUUUGUUCUGGUAUGGAGGUUUUUGAGAGUUUUUUUUUUUUUUUCCAAUAUGAGAUGUAAUAGUUCCUUUUCAAAAGUACACAAGUGUUGAGAACAAUUUAUUUUGAUAUACUUCAUGGAACAAUUGUUUUGAUACCUCUCCUUUCUUGAAUUUAUUCUCUAAAAUGCUUAUCACGAUUUGUUAACGAUUAGUGAGGAGCCGUGCUAGCUUUGAACUGCUGAAGUUUUGUGUGUAUAGCAAGGAAAGGUAGAUGAAUAUGGUGGAUACUUUGAUGGCUAACUAUUCUGGCAGCCCCUUUUAGUUAGGCCUCUGCACUAUCAAUUUGAUACUUUGCUCAUCUAGCGAGCCAUUUAACGUAAUUUGACAAUUAUACUAACAAACAAUAGUUGGGAUUGAUUUGUUAAAAGCAACUAUAGGGCUUGUACAUUAAUUUUUCAUCCAAAGCUUCGAACCAUAUUUUUUCUCUAAAAAACCCGAAGAAUGGACCUGACCCAACUCAUCUGGGUUUCAUUUUAGGGCUUAUGUAUUUCGGGUCGGAUCAGG